RNAcentral lists this non-coding RNA (21 nucleotides) under Caenorhabditis elegans. The record is from RNAcentral. Lineage: Eukaryota; Metazoa; Nematoda; Chromadorea; Rhabditida; Rhabditidae.
AUUCCCUAAGCGCCGUGGACU